This 805-nucleotide long non-coding RNA is filed under the name Fragaria vesca (wild strawberry). RNAcentral's name for it is "long non-coding RNA (FVES_LNC003407)". Lineage: Eukaryota; Viridiplantae; Streptophyta; Magnoliopsida; Rosales; Rosaceae. The record is from RNAcentral.
AACAUCCGACCCGAUAAACACUCCAUCACAUCCCAAUUGCAUAACCAGCCCCACGUCAGCCGGUGUCACAAUCCCCCCGGAGGCGAAUUGGACCACCGGCAGCCUCCCCAUUUGCUUCGUCUGCGCCACCAGAUCGUAUGGCGCAGCAAUGCUCUUGGAAAACGCGAAGACUUCAUCAUCGUCCAUAUUGUUCAGCAUUCUUAUCUGACUCAUGAUCGCCCGGACAUUCCGGACGGUCCGGGCCACAUUGCCCGACCCGGAUAAAUCUCCCUGGGUCCGAAUAAGCGCGGCCCCUUCUCUGAUCCGCCUCAGCGCGUCGCCGAGAGUCUCGGCGCCGCAGACGAAAGGGCACCGGAAAUUAUGCUUGUUGACGUAAUGAUCCUCGUCGGCGACGGCCAGGUACUCGCUCUCGUCGACAUAGUCAACACCGAUGGCUUCGAGGAUCUGGGCCUCGACGAAAUGGCCGACGCGGGAUCUGGCCAUGACGGGGAUGGAGACGGCGCGUUUGAUGGCCUUGACGAGGGAGGGAUCGGGCAUGCGGAGAAUGCCGGCGGCGGCGCCGCGGGGGGAGGAGACGAUGACGGAGCAGGCGCCGGCGUCCUCGGCGAGCUUGGCUUGAUCGGGGUUGGUGACUUCGACGAUGGCGCCGCCGCGGAGCAUCUGGGCGAGGCCGACCUUGAGGCUGUAGGGAUUCUUUUUCUUCGAGGCGUCGGCGACUGCGCCGCUGGUGUAGAUGGUGACUGCACCGUCCUGAGACGCCAUGGUUUGUGAUUUGUGAAGAUGGGUUGAGGAUUGAGAGAGAGAA